UCUCCAACUUCCUCACACAAAUCCUGAACUACUCCCAGGUGUCGGAGUCGGGGAAGCAGUUCGUGAAGCGUCUCAGUGACGUGAUGGUCCAGUCCACGCUGUUUGUACCUGACAACAACGGCCUGCCUGCCAACCAGACUCUGUCUCAGCGGGCCAUUGAGUUC
Molecule: long non-coding RNA, 164 nt
Organism: Micropterus salmoides (largemouth bass)
Lineage: Eukaryota; Metazoa; Chordata; Actinopteri; Centrarchiformes; Centrarchidae
Exons: 3
Source: RefSeq, a predicted model, not a curated record